This 548-nucleotide ribosomal RNA is filed under the name uncultured Glomus. RNAcentral's name for it is "SSU rRNA". It matches the Rfam family "Eukaryotic small subunit ribosomal RNA", at positions 548 to 1098 of the family's 1831-position model. The record is from RNAcentral. Lineage: Eukaryota; Fungi; Glomeromycota; Glomeromycetes; Glomerales; Glomeraceae.
UUGGAGGGCAAGUCUGGUGCCAGCAGCCGCGGUAAUUCCAGCUCCAAUAGCGUAUAUUAAAGUUGUUGCAGUUAAAAAGCUCGUAGUUGAAUUUCGGGACCAUCAUGUCGGUCGUGCCUCGGUACGUACUGGCAUUGUUGGUUUCUCCCUUCUGACGAACCAUGAUGUCAUUUAUUUGGUGUUGUGGGAAAUCAGGACUGUUACUUUGAAAAAAUUAGAGUGUUUAAAGCAGGCUCACGCUUGAAUACAUUAGCAUGGAAUAAUGAAAUAGGACGUUUGAUUCUAUUUUGUUGGUUUCUAGGAUCGACGUAAUGAUUAAUAGGGAUAGUUGGGGGCAUUAGUAUUCAAUUGUCAGAGGUGAAAUUCUUGGAUUUAUUGAAGACUAACUACUGCGAAAGCAUUUGCCAAGGAUGUUUUCAUUAAUCAAGAACGAAAGUUAGGGGAUCGAAGACGAUCAGAUACCGUCGUAGUCUUAACCAUAAACUAUGCCGACUAGGGAUCGGAUGAUGUUGAUUUUUUAAUGACUCAUUCGGCGCCUUACGGGAAAC